CGAGGUCCCCCAGCCGGUGGGAAAGGCAGCUGGCUCCGCCUCAAGACCUAGGUCUGAGGCCUCCGCGCCCUCCGCUCAGGCUCCGGCUUCCAGGUCGCUGCGUCCACAUCCAGGGAAGCGCUGGCCGCACCCGGGCGCGCCGGGCCGGGAUCCUCCCCUUCGACCUUCCCCGAGAUCUUGAAUCAGCCUCUGUUAAACACCUCACCCCAGCCCUGCUCACUUCCUUGCACAACUGCAAAGGCUCUCCUUUGCUCUGCUGCUCACUGACAGUAAUCCACAGGAGCACAAGACCUUUAAGAACACAGAUCAGAAACCCACAGAGCAGGCUUUCCCCGACACGUGGCCUUAGCCUUGCAGGUCCCCACGCCCGGAUCGCCCUCUCAGGCUCCUUCACAAGACCGUCGCUCUCCCACUGCCCUUCCACAACCCCACCUGCUCAAUCCCCACUGCCUCGCCACCUUCUGCCUUUCUUCCAGGGGGUUCACCACCUUCUGCAGUUCUCUCAUUGGCCUCAUUUGUGGGUCUGGAAUUCAUACUGGCCUUGGACUCACUGUGUAGCCCAGGCUGGCCUCGAACUCAUGGUGAUCCGUCCGCCUCAGCCUCCUGAGUGCUGGGAUUAUAGGUGUGGGCCACCACGCCAGCUGGAACUCCGCUUUGAUACCUCCUGAACCACAGCCCACUGCUGUGUGGCCAUCCGGGCAGGAGACCUGGCUGUCCUCAAUCAUCACUUCCUCUGCACUUGGCCUGGCACAGAGCAGAAGUCCUUCGCUGCUGUUGGUUCUGAGCAGGAAAAUGUACAGUCUGCGGGUGCCUGCUUCUCUGAUGAGAAGGUCCCGAGGCCCAGACUCCAGGAAACAGCCUCCUCCCCCACUCUGGCCCCUUGGGUAGAAUUGACAGAUGGUGCCCUGUUAACAGAUGACAUUGGAAAUCGGAAUUACUCAGCUGCUUGUCCCUCUGUCAUCCCCACGGAAGGGGGUGGCCUGCAAACUGGGAACGACAGUGAACUCUAUUUUGAGGGCUAUAGAGGACAGGGAAGGAGAUGCUCCAGGGCACAGGGGACCAGAACCAGGUACACAGAAGAUCUAACUUGGAAUCUCAUCUCUACCACGUACCAGCCAGGUGACCUAGGUGCAUCCAUCACCGUCUGAGCCUCUGCUCCCUCAUCUGUCAAAUGGGUCCAUGGGAAACUGUCCUACUCUCCUCCCUGGCUUUUAGGAAGAAAAUGGGGUGGUUUGUGCUUAUAAAAUGGGCUUUAAAACUUGUGAAGGAGUAAAAAAUGUAAGAAGUUGCUGAUUAUAA
This 1299-nucleotide long non-coding RNA is filed under the name Heterocephalus glaber (naked mole-rat). RNAcentral describes it as "lncRNA (ENSHGLG00100031948.2)". The record is from RNAcentral. Lineage: Eukaryota; Metazoa; Chordata; Mammalia; Rodentia; Bathyergidae.